AUUGCGCAUGCGGGAAACCCACGCUGAGGGAAGAAUCAUGGGAAAGAGGUGAGCCUGUAAAGUUUUAGGAUCAAGGUUAAAGGCCCUUUUUUGCUCUCUUCUCUCUUGGACCUUCAGGCGACGGCUUGGGUAUCUUCCAAGCGAAUUUUCCUUUCUUUCCUGUUCUUUUUUUUUUUUGAGACGGAGUCUUGCUCUGUCGCCCAGGCUGGAGUGCAGUGGCGUGAUGUCGGCUCACUGCAAGCUCCGCCUCCCGGGUUCACGCCAUUCUCCUGCUUCAGCCUCCUGAGUAGCUGGGGCUACAGGCGCCCGCCACCACGCCCGGCUAAUUUUUUUGUAUUUUUUUUUUUAGUAGAGACGGGGUUCCACCGUGUUAGCCAGGAUGGUCUCGAUUUCCUGACCUCGUCAUCCUCCCGCCUUGGCCUCCCAAAGUGCUGGGAUUACAGGCUUGAGCCACCGCGCCCCGCUCUUUCGUGUUCCAAAGGCUUUUUAAAUAAACUUCCACUCCUGUCCUGGAUUCUGCUUUAUGGCCCUCAGUCGAAUUCUUUCUUCUGAGGAGGCAAGGACUGAAGUUGCUUCUGACCAGUACAGGAGAAAACGAAUACAGCAGGGAUGACUUCCACCAGCUCCACUUUGCAGCUCUGAGGUGUAUUAAAAAUAAACCUAGAGCCCCACCAAAUGAAUCCGCUGGCACGUGGACCUCAGAUGGGGGAAACUGAGGACUGAAUUCUGACCACCCUCCUUUGUUCUAAAUUUCU
Molecule: long non-coding RNA, 755 nt
Filed under: Homo sapiens (human)
Lineage: Eukaryota; Metazoa; Chordata; Mammalia; Primates; Hominidae
Description: non-protein coding lnc-ERI1-32:13
Source: RNAcentral